UAGGGAAUAUUGGACAAUGGGGGCAACCCUGAUCCAGCCAUGCCGCGUGAGUGAAGAAGGCCCUCGGGUUGUAAAGCUCUUUUGUCCGGAAAGAAAAGCAUUCGGUGAAUACCCGGAUGUUCUGACGUUACCGGAAGAAUAAGCACCGGCUAACUUCGUGCCAGCAGCCGCGGUAAUACGAAGGGUGCAAGCGUUCCUCGGAAUUACUGGGCGUAAAGCGUGCGUAGGUGGUUGUUUAAGUCUGAUGUGAAAGCCCUGGGCUCAACCUGGGAAGGGCAUUGGAAACUGGGCAGCGAGAGUGCGGUAGAGGGUAGUGGAAUUCCCGGUGUAGCAGUGAAAUGCGUAGAGAUCGGGAGGAACAUCUGUGGCGAAGGCGACUGCCUGGACCAGCACUGACACUGAGGCACGAAAGCGUGGGGAGCAAACA
Molecule: ribosomal RNA, 427 nt
Filed under: uncultured bacterium
Lineage: Bacteria
Description: bacterial SSU rRNA
Rfam family: Bacterial small subunit ribosomal RNA
Source: RNAcentral